Molecule: transfer RNA, 88 nt
Filed under: Brevundimonas denitrificans
Lineage: Bacteria; Pseudomonadati; Pseudomonadota; Alphaproteobacteria; Caulobacterales; Caulobacteraceae
Description: tRNA-Pro
Source: RNAcentral
GCCCAGCAGGGUGUUGGCCUGUUUCGGGCUCUCGGUCAGCCAGUGGUCCAGCGGAUCGCGCAUCAGCUGUUCGACCAGUCGCUGGGCG